AUACUUACCUAACAGAAAAAUUACCAUGAUCACAACGGUGGUUUUCUCAGGUUGAGGUUCUUCCAUGCACUCUGGUGUGUUGACCCCUGCAAUGUCCCCAAAUGUGGGACACUCCACUGCGUAAUGUGUGGCAGGGGGGCACUGCAUUCUCACUUUCCCCUG
Small nuclear RNA from Molossus molossus (Pallas's mastiff bat), 162 nucleotides. RefSeq annotates it as U1 spliceosomal RNA. The transcript has a single exon. The record is from RefSeq and is a predicted model, not a curated record. NCBI's taxonomy places the organism in Eukaryota, Metazoa, Chordata, Mammalia, Chiroptera, Molossidae.